This 1880-nucleotide long non-coding RNA is filed under the name Diabrotica virgifera virgifera (western corn rootworm). Its description in RNAcentral is "uncharacterized LOC126885955". The record is from RNAcentral. Lineage: Eukaryota; Metazoa; Arthropoda; Insecta; Coleoptera; Chrysomelidae.
AGGGGUAAACAGAUGAUCAGUUGUUUAUUUUUCGUUUACUCUGGUUUAACCUCACUUAACUAGAUAGAUCGAGAAAUAUUAAAUUACUAUUACUAUUAUUCAGGUUGAAAAAUGCCUUCCUCUAAGGUAAAAGGUUGCGAAGUCGAUUGGGGAAAAAUAAUGUGAAAAUGAAUUCUUUCCCAAAAGAAUCUGAACGACGGAAAGGGUGGAUUAAAAAUAUAGGGUUAAAACAAGAUCCAAACAAAUAUGCUGUUGUUUGUGAAAAAAACUGUAAAUAGUAUUUAAGGCAACGAUUGUGAAUGAGUGAGAAGUCUAAUAAAGCCAUGACGAGAUACUGUAUUAGAGCGUACGAUUUGGAGGUAUUUUUGAUUAGAUAAAUUUUGUAAAGUACAAUAUAAAUUAGAUUUGAUAAUGUGUAGUAUUUCCUAAUAAAUUAAAUACUAUUAAGUGUUUAUUGUUCUUGUAAGUUAGUGUGGUAAAUAAAUAAUAUGAAGUAAGUCUGUGUAUUUAAAUUAAUAUAAGUGUUCUUAUUUAAAAAUAAAUAAAGUCAAUUCAAAAUAAAUAUUAAUGCCUAAAAAUCAAAUUAGUAAAGUCGCUCACAUGUCACUAGCAAAGAAACUUGUCAGCUUUUUGUUUCCGGUUGAUUUGGACAGGUUAAGAAUUUAAAGUGGUAACACUACAUGUUAAAUCAAUCAUUUUAAAUUGUUUACAGUUUUACUUACAGUAGGAGCUGUAACAUACUUUUGUUUACCAGUAUGCAAAAAUUAAAAAAUCUUUCAUAGAUAUUGAUUCACCACUCAAGAACUAACAAAUUGUGAAGAGCACAAAUAUGCCUGUACUUCGUUAUCUGUCCAGGGCCGAUAUCAAUUGAUUGUCACAAUAUUGUAUAGGUAUAGAAUAAUUCAUUUUAUUACAAUUAACAGUUUUUAGGUUUCCAUACUUCUAAAGGAAAAACGGACCCUUAUAGGCUCGCUAUAUACUUAUACUAUGGCCAAAAAGCGGUAGUGAGAAUAGAAGAUAUAACAUCAGAAGAAAUAGAAAUGAAAAAAAAAGGUGUUCGACAAGGGUGUAUACUUUCACCAAUAUUAUUUAAUAUAUAGGUACUCGGAAGACAUAUUAAGUAAGACAAUGGAUGAAAUAAACAUAGGCAUUAGAAUUAAUGGCAUGAUCAUAAAUAACCUGAGAUACGCUGAUGAUACAGUUCUUUUAGCCGAAUCACAUGAAAACCUACAGAUACUGCUUACUUAAUAAAGUGACCGCAGUAAGUGGAGAAUGUGGACUAUCGCUUAACAUAAGCUUUAUUCCAGCAAUGUUCCAUUAAUUUUAUCUGUCUCUUCCACAUUAACCAAGAAGAGGUGUUGAAAUUUCUGAUACAUUUCCAGUGGAUACAUUACCAGCUAUUCGUGAUGAAUAAUGAGUAAUACAGACUUAAAAAUUCAUACAGACCUAGCAGUCAUUACUUAGCUUUUGAUUAAAAUUGACAAAUCUAAACGCACAAGUGGUCUAUUACUUUUCUGUCCAAAAAACGUUUAUAUGUUUUUUGUCAUUUUGAAUUAAACACCUAUAAGUUCGUUUAUGCUUUAUGUUUCUAGCUUGAUUCUAUUUUUGAAGUUAUUAGGUGCGAUUGGGAAAAAUGUUGUCGAGUUUUUUAUAAAACUAACAGUAUGCACUAUUGUGCACACAGACAAUAUAAAGUUAGUUGCUAAAUCUUUCAAGUUACGUAUCGGUGGAAAUAAAGUGUGAACAAAAUAUAUUGGUGUUUUUAGUAAAUAUAUGUUUUAUAAUUUUUUAAUUUGUGCUAUUCUUUUAAUGAAAUUUUUUGGAAAGUAGUAAGUAUUAAAAUUUAAUUUAAUAUUUAAAUAAAUUACAAAUAAACUGUU